CCUACGGGUGGCAGCAGUGAGGAAUAUUGGUCAAUGGGCGGAAGCCUGAACCAGCCAAGCCGCGUGAAGGAAGACGGUCCUACGUGUUGUAAACUUCUUUUGUCAGGGAACAAAGGCAGGGACGUGUCCCCUGAUGAAGGUACCUUAAGAAUAAGGAUCGGCUAACUCCGUGCCAGCAGCCGCGGUAAUACGGAGGAUCCGAGCGUUAUCCGGAUUUAUUGGGUUUAAAGGGGGCGCAGGCGGGCUGUUAAGUUAGGGGUGAAAUGCCGGGGCUUAACCCUGGCACUGCAGCGGAAACUGGCGGGCUGGAGUGGGAGAGAGGUAGGCGGAAUGCGUGGUGUAGCGGUGAAAUGCUUAGAUAUCGCGAAGAACCCCGAUUGCGAAGGCAGCGUACCG
This 396-nucleotide ribosomal RNA is filed under the name uncultured bacterium. RNAcentral describes it as "partial 16S ribosomal RNA". It matches the Rfam family "Bacterial small subunit ribosomal RNA", at positions 338 to 731 of the family's 1533-position model. The record is from RNAcentral.